GUACUGCUGACGAGUCCCAUAAUAGAACGAAACAGCCGUCCAGUGC
Non-coding RNA from Schistosoma rodhaini, 46 nucleotides. The record is from Rfam. NCBI's taxonomy places the organism in Eukaryota, Metazoa, Platyhelminthes, Trematoda, Strigeidida, Schistosomatidae.